GCCCAAUCAUCAUAUUUACCCAAAUUCCACAUUUAAACCAUAAACACAAGGAAUCCUCAACACAUGUACAUAAAAUCAUUUUUUUUCCCCAAAAAUCAACAUAAAAACAUACUUUUCUACUAAAUUAAAAGCUUACUUUCUUCAAAGAGAAAUGGCCAACUGGGUCGUCGAUUUUUCCUUUUUUGUCGAUACCUGAGUCGAUAGUGCUACAGUAAUUUUUCUCUUUCCUUACUAUCUUCUCUCUCUUCUUGAAAUGGUAAGGGUAAAUUUGAGUUUUUUUUUUUUCAAGAUUUUAAACAUUUUUUCAUUUUUUUAUUGGUCAAAGGCCUCUUUGAAAAAAUGGUCGGGUCAACCGGCCAAUAGCCACUAUUUCCUCUUGCGGUACAUGGAAUUGUAAACGGGUCGAGCCGCUCACAACUUGCGGAGAUCUGUUCUUUAAAGUUGUCCAUCAAUGGUAUGGACAAUUAGUUUUAAGCACAAGUAAUCGUAAGAGAAAAAAUAGAAAUAUCAAUUUAAAGUGAUUUGUCAAUUAAUCAUUGAUUGAACACCAAGUUGAACAGUCAAUUUUGAACAGUAGAUCUUAACUCCAAAGUCGUUCUUUUCUACUGAGAUAAGUCAU
RNAcentral lists this long non-coding RNA (619 nucleotides) under Olea europaea subsp. europaea. The record is from RNAcentral. Lineage: Eukaryota; Viridiplantae; Streptophyta; Magnoliopsida; Lamiales; Oleaceae.